RNAcentral lists this ribosomal RNA (1040 nucleotides) under Eoacmaea conoidalis. Its description in RNAcentral is "bacterial SSU rRNA". It matches the Rfam family "Eukaryotic small subunit ribosomal RNA", at positions 21 to 905 of the family's 1831-position model. The record is from RNAcentral. Lineage: Eukaryota; Metazoa; Mollusca; Gastropoda; Eoacmaeidae.
GAUCAUAUGCUUGUCUCAAAGCUUAAGCCAUGCAAGUCUAAGUUCAGGCUCGUUCCUUUCGGGGAGCGAGCCGAAACUGCGAACGGCUCAUUAGUCAGAUAAGGUUCCUUGGCGAAAAGCGGGUCGGUUUUAAUGGAUAACUGUGGUAAUUCUAGAGCUAAUACAUGCAACGUACCGUGGUCCCCGUCGGGAAAUCUUCUCUCUCCGGCAAGGGGGAAACGGCAUUUAUUCUCUGGACAAGAUCGCCCUAGCCUGCGAAGCUGCCGUCAAAAGCGGCGACGGGGCGAAGCGACAAGUGUUGAAAUCCGAAUAACUGUGCCGAUCGCGGGGUCUUUCCGGGCCCCCGGCGACUUUGCCAUGAAGUGUCUGUCCCAUCAAUUGGCGACGGUCGGCGACCUGCCUACCACGGUGUUGACGGGUAACGGGGAAUCAGGGUUCGAUUCCGGAGAGGGAGCCUGCGAAACGGCUACCACCUCCAAGGAGGGCAGCAGGCGCGCAACUUACCCAAUCCCGACUCGGGGAGGUAGUGACGAAAAAUAACGUGGCGGGGCCACUCUUGGUCGCCGCGGGCGGAAUGAGUGCAAUUUAAAAGAGUGUGCGAGGAGCUAUUGGAGGGCAAGCCUGGUGCCAGCAGCCGCGGUAAUUCCAGCUCCAAUAGCCUAUAUCGGAGUUGCUGCGGUUAAAAAGCUCGUCGUUGGAUCUCGGAGGCGGCACGGUCGGGCGCGAUACGCUGCGGGUCCGACCGGCGAUUUCUCGGCCGUCCCUAACCGGCGCGCGGGGCGAGGUGGACUUCGCGGUCCUGCCUCGUUUUCCUCUCCUCGACGGGGAGGAAACCCGCCGCAUUCAUUGUCUACCUUGAAAAAAUUAGAGUGCUAAAGGCAGGCUAAAACCCCGAGCCUGAAUAUUUCGUGCAUGGAAUAAACGGGGAUGCUCUUUUUCCGGAGGGCGGUCCGACCGACUGGCGACGUCGCUUUCGCUGUCGGUUUCGCCGGGGAGCUAGGAUUCGAGAGGAACGGUGGGGGGCGAGCGUACCGGGCGGG